This 722-nucleotide ribosomal RNA is filed under the name uncultured Fusobacterium sp. RNAcentral describes it as "bacterial SSU rRNA". It matches the Rfam family "Bacterial small subunit ribosomal RNA", at positions 28 to 763 of the family's 1533-position model. The record is from RNAcentral. Lineage: Bacteria; Fusobacteriati; Fusobacteriota; Fusobacteriia; Fusobacteriales; Fusobacteriaceae.
GAUGAACGCUGACAGAAUGCUUAACACAUGCAAGUCAACUUGAAUUUGGGUUUUUAACUUAGAUUUAGGUGGCGGACGGGUGAGUAACGCGUAAAGAACUUGCCUCACAGCUAGGGACAACAUUUAGAAAUGAAUGCUAAUACCUGAUAUUAUGAUUUUAAGGCAUCUUAGAAUUAUGAAAGCUAUAAGCACUGUGAGAGAGCUUUGCGUCCCAUUAGCUAGUUGGAGAGGUAACAGCUCACCAAGGCGAUGAUGGGUAGCCGGCCUGAGAGGGUGAACGGCCACAAGGGGACUGAGACACGGCCCUUACUCCUACGGGAGGCAGCAGUGGGGAAUAUUGGACAAUGGACCGAGAGUCUGAUCCAGCAAUUCUGUGUGCACGAUGAAUUUUUUCGGAAUGUAAAGUGCUUUCAGUUGGGAAGAAAAAAAUGACGGUACCAACAGAAGAAGUGACGGCUAAAUACGUGCCAGCAGCCGCGGUAAUACGUAUGUCACGAGCGUUAUCCGGAUUUAUUGGGCGUAAAGCGCGUCUAGGUGGUUAUGUAAGUCUGAUGUGAAAAUGCAGGGCUCAACUCUGUAUUGCGUUGGAAACUGUAUAACUAGAGUACUGGAGAGGUAAGCGGAACUACAAGUGUAGAGGUGAAAUUCGUAGAUAUUUGUAGGAAUGCCGAUGGAGAAGCCAGCUUACUGGACAGAUACUGACGCUAAAGCGCGAAAGCGUG